UACGUAGGGUGCGAGCGUUGUCCGGAAUUAUUGGGCGUAAAGGGCUCGUAGGCGGUCUGUCGCGUCGGGAGUGAAAACUCAGGGCUUAACCCUGAGCCUGCUUCCGAUACGGGCAGACUAGAGGUAUGCAGGGGAGAACGGAAUUCCUGGUGUAGCGGUGAAAUGCGCAGAUAUCAGGAGGAACACCGAUGGCGAAGGCAGGUCUCUGGGCCACUACUGACGCUGAGAAGCGAAAGCGUGGGGAGCGAACAGG
RNAcentral lists this ribosomal RNA (253 nucleotides) under uncultured bacterium. RNAcentral's name for it is "partial 16S ribosomal RNA". It matches the Rfam family "Bacterial small subunit ribosomal RNA", at positions 524 to 776 of the family's 1533-position model. The record is from RNAcentral.